CCAAACCCUUGUGUUUCUUCCUGUGUCCACAAGUUCGGUAGCUUACUAUUUUGUGUUUCUUCUCAAGUUGGGAUCUUUUGUGCUACUUCGCAUAUCACCAGUUGAACAGUUGAAGACUUACGUCCUUGUUCCACUGCGGUCUUAAGAUGAGCCAUGCCAAAAGCCUGAGCAGAGAUGUGGCAGAAUGCAUCGAUUUGGAGAGCACCAGACCUCAAUUGGACAGCUUUCCAUAUUUCACUCCGCAGCUCUGACCUCUGUAUGUAGGCUUGUGGGGUCAGACCCUUUGUGGUAAGGAUUUUCACUAGCUGGAGGAGGUUGUUGGAGUAUUUCCAACAGUGACACUGUCACAGAAAGCACAACAUAAGCAUUUACAAAAAGUAUCAAAUGCAUGUGUUCAGCACACACAUUCUUGAUUUGCAGAGUUUAACAGGCUGUGAUUGUUUCCAUUUUUUAACAUUUCCACUUUCAGUCUUUUCCCCCUCACAGAUGGAUCUGCAGGGAGCCAUUCAGGACAAGGAGAGAGGUAUGAAUUCCUCUUCCUCUUUUUUGUCUUCAUCUGCUGGAUGGAUGUUUGUGACAGUGUCAGACUCCGCAGAACAGGAAGUAUCGAUUUUUUUGUUUUCCAUCUGCACUGCAGGUGGUAGUGGGCAGUGGAUUGGCGCCUGAGAUGAUCACUGUUGCAACAGCUGCAUCUUCUUUAUCUUUUUGUUUUACAGAGCAAAUGUGCAUGUUGUCUUAAAUGAAGGAAAGAUGUUGCGCAAAAAUCGAUCCACCCGAAUAGGCAAGGUUUUUAUGCUUGAGAAGGCCAUGUUUGAUGUUUUUGAACUCAACAUUGGCUGAACUUGCGGUGAUGUUGGUGCUUCGAGGGAUCAUUAACCUUGUCCAGAGUGGCAAGUAACUUGCAAUCUCAAUCACCAUUUGCCAUGGAAAGUGACCUGCUCUCCUCACUUAUGUCUGUCACCCACUGCCGUAGGUCUGUGUGUACUUCUUCACAUGGAUCCACACCUUCCAGGUCCUCACCCUCUACGUCUGGGAUGAUGACACUCAUCUGCAAUUUGGGCUUUCAAGUAUUUCUUGCACCUGGUACUCACAAUGGUAAUACUGCGUAGUAGCUCUUUUGCAUUGUCAACAGAUUGUGACUUGAGAAGCUGUGCCAUUGACCUCACAAAGAAAUCUUUAAUGCAGUGUGGUUUUUUUUCUUCAAGCAGUCCCACAAAAGUGAGUACACCCCUCACAUUUUUGUAAAUAUU
Long non-coding RNA from Esox lucius (northern pike), 1250 nucleotides. RefSeq lists it as uncharacterized. Lineage: Eukaryota; Metazoa; Chordata; Actinopteri; Esociformes; Esocidae. The transcript is spliced from 3 exons. The record is from RefSeq and is a predicted model, not a curated record.